This 1444-nucleotide ribosomal RNA is filed under the name uncultured organism. RNAcentral's name for it is "16S ribosomal RNA". It matches the Rfam family "Bacterial small subunit ribosomal RNA". The record is from RNAcentral.
GCGUGCUUAACACAUGCAAGUCGAACGGAAAGGCCCUGCUUUUGUGGGGUGCUCGAGUGGCGAACGGGUGAGUAACACGUGAGUAACCUGCCCUUGACUUUGGGAUAACUUCAGGAAACUGGGGCUAAUACCGGAUAGGAGCUCCUGCUGCAUGGUGGGGGUUGGAAAGUUUCGGCGGUUGGGGAUGGACUCGCGGCUUAUCAGCUUGUUGGUGGGGUAGUGGCUUACCAAGGCUUUGACGGGUAGCCGGCCUGAGAGGGUGACCGGCCACAUUGGGACUGAGAUACGGCCCAGACUCCUACGGGAGGCAGCAGUGGGGAAUAUUGCACAAUGGGCGGAAGCCUGAUGCAGCAACGCCGCGUGCGGGAUGACGGCCUUCGGGUUGUAAACCGCUUUCGCCUGUGACGAAGCGUGAGUGACGGUAAUGGGUAAAGAAGCACCGGCUAACUACGUGCCAGCAGCCGCGGUGAUACGUAGGGUGCGAGCGUUGUCCGGAUUUAUUGGGCGUAAAGGGCUCGUAGGUGGUUGAUCGCGUCGGAAGUGUAAUCUUGGGGCUUAACCCUGAGCGUGCUUUCGAUACGGGUUGACUUGAGGAAGGUAGGGGAGAAUGGAAUUCCUGGUGGAGCGGUGGAAUGCGCAGAUAUCAGGAGGAACACCAGUGGCGAAGGCGGUUCUCUGGGCCUUUCCUGACGCUGAGGAGCGAAAGCGUGGGGAGCGAACAGGCUUAGAUACCCUGGUAGUCCACGCUGUAAACGGUGGGUACUAGGUGUGGGGUCCAUUCCACGGGUUCCGUGCCGUAGCUAACGCUUUAAGUACCCCGCCUGGGGAGUACGGCCGCAAGGCUAAAACUCAAAGGAAUUGACGGGGCCCCGCACAAGCGGCGGAGCAUGCGGAUUAAUUCGAUGCAACGCGUAGAACCUUACCUGGGUUUGACAUGGAUCGGGAGUGCUCAGAGAUGGGUGUGCCUCUUUUGGGGUCGGUUCACAGGUGGUGCAUGGCUGUCGUCAGCUCGUGUCGUGAGAUGUUGGGUUAAGUCCCGCAACGAGCGCAACCCUUGUUCACUGUUGCCAGCACGUUAUGGUGGGGACUCAGUGGAGACCGCCGGGGUCAACUCGGAGGAAGGUGGGGAUGACGUCAAGUCAUCAUGCCCCUUAUGUCCAGGGCUUCACGCAUGCUACAAUGGCUGGUACAGAGAGUGGCGAGCCUGUGAGGGUGAGCGAAUCUCGGAAAGCCGGUCUCAGUUCGGAUUGGGGUCUGCAACUCGACCUCAUGAAGUCGGAGUCGCUAGUAAUCGCAGAUCAGCAACGCUGCGGUGAAUACGUUCCCGGGGCUUGUACACACCGCCCGUCAAGUCAUGAAAGUUGGUAACACCCGAAGCCGGUGGCCUAACCGUUGUGGGGGAGCCGUCGAAGGUGGGACUGGUGAUUAGGACUAAGUCAUAACA